UGGGAACACAUUCGAUUGGCGCCAUGAAAGCCAUAAAAAGCAAACGCACAGUGCUCGGAGGCAAGCGUCCAUGCCAAAGCUCGUCAAGGAACAACAAGCAACAAGAACACACAAGGAAAAUUGGGUCAAAGCAGCCACCAGCCAAACAUUUGGCAGCCUGAGCAUAAAAGUGACGUAGAGGGAGAGAGAUAGAGUAUCUGUGGACGAUGUACUGGGAUAUUAUAAAAAUCGAAUUAUAUGCAAAAUCAAUUUACUGAACUGUUGGCUGCCCGCAAAUGACAUCAUAAGCGAGCGCUGCUCAACCCUUCAAUUUGCAGCAUCCUCAUUUUCAGAGCAGAGAAGAGGGGCAGCAGGGCAGAGGAGCCUGCCACAAUUUCUCCAUGUCAUAUAUCCUUAUAAAAUUGCUGACAUCAUUUGCACAGCAGUUGUCGAGUGCCGCUGUGUUUUCUAUGAAAGUUUCUCGCUUCAAUUUCCGGUGCGGGGAUACAUGAUAUUAUGUGCCCCGUGCACCUACAUUUAAAUAAAAUUUAUGCCGCCUGCACACAAUGCCGCUUGGGUUGUGGUAUUUGUGCUGAGGGGGCGCAGCCGGCUGUUCCAUUUACCAACUCGGAUUCGGGUCAUACAAAGUUGUUUUGCAAAUUUAAUAACAAUUUGCAUAAAUUUACAAGGCUAAUGCUGCAAAAUGGUUUCGCAGGCGGAAUAUGGACGUGGGACGUGGGUUAUAAAUCGCAGUGGAGCUCUACUUACAUCUCUCAGUCGAAGGCGUUAUCUUUUAGAUCUGUCAUAAGUACA
Drosophila montana is the source of this 792-nucleotide long non-coding RNA. RefSeq lists it as uncharacterized. The record is from RefSeq and is a predicted model, not a curated record. NCBI's taxonomy places the organism in Eukaryota, Metazoa, Arthropoda, Insecta, Diptera, Drosophilidae. The transcript has 3 exons.